GCUUCGGCGAGGUUGAGGGAGGGACCCACAGACUUGGAGAAGGACGUGCCUUGCAGGUUGGGAUGCAGCAGAGAGAAAAACAUCUGGACAAAUAAAAGAC
Long non-coding RNA from Lontra canadensis (Northern American river otter), 100 nucleotides. RefSeq lists it as uncharacterized. The transcript is spliced from 3 exons. NCBI's taxonomy places the organism in Eukaryota, Metazoa, Chordata, Mammalia, Carnivora, Mustelidae. The record is from RefSeq and is a predicted model, not a curated record.